RNAcentral lists this ribosomal RNA (29 nucleotides) under Metagonimus yokogawai. Its description in RNAcentral is "partial 18S ribosomal RNA". The record is from RNAcentral. Lineage: Eukaryota; Metazoa; Platyhelminthes; Trematoda; Opisthorchiida; Heterophyidae.
UCCGUAGGUGAACCUGCGGAAAGAUCAUU